UUAAAGGGCCGUGGUAUAUUGACCAUGCGAAGGUAGCAUAAUCAUUAGCCUUUUGAUUUGAGGCUGGAAUGAAUGGUCUGACGAGAGGCAACCUGUCUCCUUAAUUAACUCGAAUUUAAUCUUUAAGUGAAAAAGCUUAAAUAUUCUUGGAGGACGAUAAGACCCUAUAGAUCUUUACAUCCGGAUCUUUUAUCUAACGGUGGGUAAUCGGGUGGAAGAAGAGGAUGUUUGGUUGGGGCGACGUCGAGAGGAGAAGAAACACUCGAGAAUAUAUACACAUUGACAAAGAUCAUUGAUCCUUAGAUGAAUACGGAGUAAGUUACCUUAGGGAUAACAGCGUAAUUCUUUUUGAGAGUCCAAAUCGACAAAAGAGUUUGCGACCUCGAUGUUGGUUCAGGGAUCCUACUCGGUGCAGCAGCUUAGUUAGGCAGUC
Molecule: ribosomal RNA, 433 nt
Filed under: Artemia sorgeloosi
Lineage: Eukaryota; Metazoa; Arthropoda; Branchiopoda; Anostraca; Artemiidae
Description: partial large subunit ribosomal RNA
Rfam family: Bacterial large subunit ribosomal RNA
Source: RNAcentral